CACUCUUCGGGGUGAGUGGCAGACGGGUGAGUAACGCGUGGGAACCUACCUGGUGGUCUGGAAUAACUUGGGGAAACUCAAGCUAAUACCGGAUGUGCCCUUCGGGGGAAAGAUUUAUCGCCAUUGGACGGGCCCGCGUCGGAUUAGCUAGUUGGUGAGGUAACGGCUCACCAAGGCUACGAUCCGUAGCUGGUCUUAGAGGAUGAUCAGCCACACUGGGACUGAGACACGGCCCAGACUCCUACGGGAGGCAGCAGUGGGGAAUAUUGGACAAUGGGCGCAAGCCUGAUCCAGCCAUGCCGCGUGAGUGAUGAAGGCCUUAGGGUUGUAAAGCUCUUUCGCCGGGGAAGAUAAUGACGGUACCCGGAGAAGAAGCCCCGGCUAACUUCGUGCCAGCAGCCGCGGUAAUACGAAGGGGGCUAGCGUUGUUCGGAAUUACUGGGCGUAAAGCGCACGUAGGCGGGUCGUUAAGUCAGGGGUGAAAGCCCGGAGCUCAACUCCGGAAUUGCCCUUGAUACUGGCGAUCUUGAGUCCGAGAGAGGUAAGUGGAACUCCGAGUGUAGAGGUGAAAUUCGUAGAUAUUCGGAAGAACACCAGUGGCGAAGGCGGCUUACUGGCUCGGUACUGACGCUGAG
RNAcentral lists this ribosomal RNA (635 nucleotides) under Amorphus suaedae. RNAcentral's name for it is "bacterial SSU rRNA". It matches the Rfam family "Bacterial small subunit ribosomal RNA", at positions 74 to 750 of the family's 1533-position model. The record is from RNAcentral. Lineage: Bacteria; Pseudomonadati; Pseudomonadota; Alphaproteobacteria; Hyphomicrobiales; Amorphaceae.